Non-coding RNA from Nicotiana tabacum (common tobacco), 1279 nucleotides. NCBI's taxonomy places the organism in Eukaryota, Viridiplantae, Streptophyta, Magnoliopsida, Solanales, Solanaceae. The record is from RefSeq and is a predicted model, not a curated record.
ACCUCACCAGAAGACCCCUCCAUCGCCGCCGUCUGCCACAACCGAAAAUCACCUACGGGGCGGUCGACGUCCAACCUACACCAAACUUACAGCAGAAGCCCACCUUAACCUCCUCAUCUCGAAUCCACAACUAGUUUCCCUCAAAACUUGCCCAAAUCCUUCGAAUAUUGAUUUGAAAUCAGGAAUCCUAGUGCUGCCACAAUUUUUCCAAUGGCGGCGUCGCCUCUGUUCAGCCCCAAAUUCACAUCCUAGCACCUCCUUCUCCCCCUCAUUACGAAUCCUCACUUAGAUUCAUUCAAAUACCAUUGAAGAUCUUCAAAUAUCGAAUCAAAGGGUGAAGCCCUCAUUCCUCUAACUCAAAAGUCAGCUGGCUGGUGAAGAUUUUAGACCGUACUGGACCUUAAUUGUGUGUUUUCACAUAAAAAUAGAAGAUUAAGGUCUACUCCGUUCGAAAAUCAAAGGAUUUGUUUUUAACGUUUGUUCAAGACAGACCUAAGUCUCUUUAGGUAUGUUUCAACACUUGAAAGCAUGUGAUAUGUAAAGGGGUAGCUCAAUGAUUAAUAAUGAGAUAUUUGGUCCUAGUUCCUUGAGAUCUGUUCAUGUGUGUCGAAAUUAAUCAUAUGACUUUAGCUAUUUUUCAUUCAGUUUUGAUUAUGCUAUGUAUAUAAAGGUUUUUGAUUGCAUUUGUGGUUUAUUAGUUUGCUUCUAGCUUGACUAUACUCCUUUACCAGUAUUCAUGUUUCAAGACUGUUACAGUGGAAAUGUAAUGAACACUAUUGUUAGUUGAAGUAGUAGUUUAAAUCUAGAAUCUACCAUUGGUAGGUAGAUGUAAUGAUUUUAAGUUGUUCGACGGAGUUAUUUUGUGGGAAUUCUCAAAAUCCAACAGUUAAUUGAAUAGCAGUUUUAAUUGGAAAUGUAUCUAGUUUUGUAUUCAAUAAAGCAUAUUAUUGACGUGGAACCCGACAUUAUCUAAUGAGCUGCAUGAGUCUUUGUUCGCCUAGUAAUUAGGUAUAUAGUUGUGAGUGUUCAAUACAUUUAGUGUCAACUAUUGGAAAACGUUGCACGACUAAUACAUAUGGUGUGUGGAAACUGAUUAAUUUAUAGGUUUUGACUAUAGUUUGUUUUGAAUUGUAAGAUUAGUAAUGGUUUUGAUUGUCAGCUUCCACUUUCCUUUUAAGUUUGGCAAUUUGGUGAUGAGUUUCAAUGUGGAAAUUAAUGUACGUAAAGCCACAUGCCAUUAUUUAGCUUUUAUACAGUGAUAAAUUAGUUAAUUCUGACU